This 523-nucleotide ribosomal RNA is filed under the name uncultured bacterium. RNAcentral's name for it is "bacterial SSU rRNA". It matches the Rfam family "Bacterial small subunit ribosomal RNA", at positions 856 to 1375 of the family's 1533-position model. The record is from RNAcentral.
CCGAUUAAGCACUACGCCUCGGGAGUACGGACGCAAGGACUGAAACUCAACGGAAUUANACGGGGCCGCGACAAGCGUGGAGCAUGNGGUUUAAUUCGUAAGCAACGCGAAGAACCUUACCAGGUCUUGACAUCCCGCUGCCCGCCUUUAGAGAUAAGGCUUUCCCUUCGGGGUACAGCGGUGACAGGUGGUGCAUGGCUGUCGUCAGCUCGUGUCGUGAGAUGUUGGGUUAAGUCCCGCAACGAGCGCAACCCUCGUGUUUAGUUGCCAUCAUUAAGUUGGGCACUCUAAACAGACUGCCGGUGACAAACCGGAGGAAGGUGGGGAUGACGUCAAGUCAGCAUGCCCCUUACGUCCUGGGCUACACACGUACUACAAUGGUAGGGACAGAGGGCAGCCAACCCGCGAGGGCGAGCUAAUCCCGUAAACCCUGCCUCAGUUCAGAUUGCAGGCUGCAACUCGCCUGCAUGAAGGCGGAAUCGCUAGUAAUCGCAGGUCAGCAUACUGCGGUGAAUCCGUUCCC